This 239-nucleotide unclassified non-coding RNA is filed under the name Hevea brasiliensis (rubber tree). The record is from RNAcentral. Lineage: Eukaryota; Viridiplantae; Streptophyta; Magnoliopsida; Malpighiales; Euphorbiaceae.
GGAGGAAUCAGUGGGAAAUGAAUUGGAAGGCAAGAAAAAGGAUGUGUUUUCUGAGGAGCAAGGAACAGAAGAUGAUGAUGGCAAUUUUGAAAGUGAGCCUUGGGAUUUGCUUUCAUCGGCAUCCUUAGGUCAUGAUCAAGCUACCCAAACUAUUGAAAAGGAUCUAGUAAUGGUUCAUAUGCUUCGCCUUGCUUGUGCUUCAAAAGGAGGUUUGGCUGAUGCUAUAUCUCAAAUAACCA